UACGAAGGGGGCUAGCGUUGUUCGGAUUUACUGGGCGUAAAGCGCACGUAGGCGGAUCGUUAAGUCGGGGGUGAAAUCCUGGAGCUCAACUCCAGAACUGCCUUCGAUACUGGCGAUCUUGAGUCCGGAAGAGGUGGAGUGGAACUCCUAGUGUAGAGGUGGAAUUCGUAGAUAUUAGGAAGAACACCAGUGGCGAAGGCGGCUCACUGGUCCGGUACUGACGCUGAGGUGCGAAAGCGUGGGGAGCAAACAGG
RNAcentral lists this ribosomal RNA (254 nucleotides) under uncultured bacterium. Its description in RNAcentral is "partial 16S ribosomal RNA". It matches the Rfam family "Bacterial small subunit ribosomal RNA", at positions 524 to 776 of the family's 1533-position model. The record is from RNAcentral.